ACCAUGGCUGUAGACUGUUAC
RNAcentral lists this microRNA (21 nucleotides) under Gallus gallus (chicken). Its description in RNAcentral is "gga-miR-132b-5p". Its record names the gene gga-miR-132b-5p. Lineage: Eukaryota; Metazoa; Chordata; Aves; Galliformes; Phasianidae. The record is from miRBase by way of RNAcentral.